This 665-nucleotide ribosomal RNA is filed under the name Ruegeria sp. AU435_Ted3_NSW. Its description in RNAcentral is "bacterial SSU rRNA". It matches the Rfam family "Bacterial small subunit ribosomal RNA", at positions 60 to 773 of the family's 1533-position model. The record is from RNAcentral. Lineage: Bacteria; Pseudomonadati; Pseudomonadota; Alphaproteobacteria; Rhodobacterales; Roseobacteraceae.
AGUCGAGCGCACCUUCGGGUGAGCGGCGGACGGGUUAGUAACGCGUGGGAACAUACCCUUUGGUACGGAAUAGCCUCUGGAAACGGAGAGUAAUACCGUAUGAGCCCUUCGGGGGAAAGAUUUAUCGCCAAAGGAUUGGCCCGCGUUAGAUUAGGUAGUUGGUGGGGUAAUGGCCUACCAAGCCUACGAUCUAUAGCUGGUUUUAGAGGAUGAUCAGCAACACUGGGACUGAGACACGGCCCAGACUCCUACGGGAGGCAGCAGUGGGGAAUCUUGGACAAUGGGGGCAACCCUGAUCCAGCCAUGCCGCGUGAGUGAUGAAGGCCUUAGGGUCGUAAAGCUCUUUCGCCUGUGAAGAUAAUGACGGUAGCAGGUAAAGAAACCCCGGCUAACUCCGUGCCAGCAGCCGCGGUAAUACGGAGGGGGUUAGCGUUGUUCGGAAUUACUGGGCGUAAAGCGCACGUAGGCGGACUGGAAAGUUGGGGGUGAAAUCCCAGGGCUCAACCCUGGAACUGCCUCCAAAACUAUCAGUCUAGAGUUCGAGAGAGGUGAGUGGAAUUCCGAGUGUAGAGGUGAAAUUCGUAGAUAUUCGGAGGAACACCAGUGGCGAAGGCGGCUCACUGGCUCGAUACUGACGCUGAGGUGCGAAAGUGUGGGGAGCAAAC